Molecule: ribosomal RNA, 339 nt
Filed under: Triticum aestivum (bread wheat)
Lineage: Eukaryota; Viridiplantae; Streptophyta; Magnoliopsida; Poales; Poaceae
Description: partial small subunit ribosomal RNA
Source: RNAcentral
AUGGACCGGAAGAAGCGUGAGUUCCGCAACCUCACCCAAGGCAACAAAACUGUCGAAGCUUAUCAGCGGGAGUUUCUGGACUUGUCCCGCUAUGCUGAAGAAGACAUUGCAACUGAUGCACGCAGACAGGAGAAGUUCCGUGAUGGCCUUCAAGCUGACAUCAAGCUCGCACUUCUAGUGCAUGACUUCGCCGAUUUCUCCACCUUGGUGAAUAAGGCCAUCAAUGUCGAGACUGGUCUGCAGGAAUACCAGAGCUCUCAGAGGCGCAACCGUGACACGGGCUCAUCUUCGGGCUCACCCUCACAGAAGCGUAAGAUAUGGAUCCCGAACAGCAUGUAA